UAUGGCCAUACCACUCUGAAUGCACCCAAUCUCAUCUGAUUUCGGAAGCUAAGCAGGGUCGGGCUCAGUGAGUACUUGGAUGGGAGACCAUUUGAUCCAGCAAUCUCAUUUCUGGUCUUAA
This is a ribosomal RNA of Ochotona princeps (American pika), 121 nucleotides long. Lineage: Eukaryota; Metazoa; Chordata; Mammalia; Lagomorpha; Ochotonidae. The record is from Ensembl.